GUGGAAAAGGUCCAGUUUACAUAAAAGUGGUCUCGGAUAAACUUGGCGAUUGCAUCAUGAACGCAAUAUUUUCCACGGGAUCUCUGAAAAUCAUCCUCACUGCCUUGAGAAGACCCCUGAUCUUCGCAUUC
Molecule: long non-coding RNA, 131 nt
Organism: Rhipicephalus sanguineus (brown dog tick)
Lineage: Eukaryota; Metazoa; Arthropoda; Arachnida; Ixodida; Ixodidae
Exons: 3
Source: RefSeq, a predicted model, not a curated record